This 447-nucleotide ribosomal RNA is filed under the name uncultured bacterium. RNAcentral's name for it is "partial 16S ribosomal RNA". It matches the Rfam family "Bacterial small subunit ribosomal RNA", at positions 29 to 523 of the family's 1533-position model. The record is from RNAcentral.
AACGAACGCUGGCGGCAGGCCUAAUACAUGCAAGUCGAGGGGCCCGUAAGGGCACCGGCGCACGGGUGCAUAACGCGUGGGAAUAUACCCUUCACUACGGAACAACGUCGGGAAACUGACGCUAAUACCGUAUGAUGACUCCGGUCCAAAGAUUUAUCGGUGAAGGAUUAGCCCGCGUCUGAUUAGCUAGUUGGUGAAGUAACGGCUCACCAAGGCGACGAUCAGUAGCUGGUCUGAGAGGAUGAUCAGCCACACUGGGACUGAGACACGGCCCAGACUCCUACGGGAGGCAGCAGUAAGGAAUAUUGGACAAUGGAGGAAACUCUGAUCCAGCCAUGCCGCGUGAGUGAAGAAGGCCUUCGGGUUGUAAAGCUCUUUUAAUCGUGAAGAUAAUGACGGUAGCGAUAGAAAAAGCUCCGGCUAAAUUCGUGCCAGCAGCCGCCGUAA